ACAAGGGCGAUACGUUUGAAACUAUACAGCUGAAGAUUUUAUCGCCGAGACCUUUAUUCAACUAUUCCGGCGAUUUGCAGCUAGGCGAUCAUGUCCGAGGCGUUUGAUUAGUGAUAACGCCAUUAAUUUUGUAGGUAGCUCCCUUUUCUUAAUAGAGAUUAUGAAACACUCUAGUAAAACAAUCACUGGAGGCGAGAAAGUGUGUUUGGACUUUCAUAACUGCCCGAGCACUUUGGCAAAAUGAGUUCACAGAAUGUUAGGCAUAGUAAAGAAUUGCCUAAAAAAGACUCCACCGGACAAAAUUAACCCUGGAAGAAUUAAUUAAGAACUAUAAUAAUUAAAAUCGAAAACAGUGUCGAUAAUCGCCCCUUGACUUACAUAGAUGAUUCCCCAUAAAUAUAGAAGCUCUGACUCCAUCGCACUUAUCACUGGAAGAAGAACUGAAGCCUCGGUGCAGAAGUCAGUGAUCCCACAGUAAACGAUCCAGCACGUCUCAGAGCUAGCUACCAUAAUUUGAUUAAGAUUUUGGAAAGUAGGGAUAAACAUUGGAUCUCUGAUUAUCUAUUGAGUUUGAGGGAGAGGUUUUACGGUGCUCAAUUGCCAGAGCCUACUGUCCACUGAAAGUGAGGGAUAUAGUCUUGAUAAAGAGUGACACGCCUCGUUCCCAGUUGCCACUCCGGAAAAUUGUCUCUUUGCAAGUCGAUGGGGGUGGGGUCGUAAGAUAAGUAGAAUUGAUGGUUAGCGGUCAACAGUGUCUAAGAUCAACUAACAAUCUCAUCCCCCUGGAAUUGUCUGAAGGGCCAGAGGACCAAUCCCUGCAUUCGUCUUGUGAGACCAGCGAGGGAACGUUAAGGCCUCAGAGAUCAUUGGCUCUGAGAUCUAGCUCGGCUUGGAGGAAGUUAAUCCCAGGAGGGUGACAUUAUACUUGAGGCACUCUCUCAUGUUCGGCGGGCUCCAGCUGUGGAAGUAAUUUUGUUGGUAUUUGUUGUAUAAUUAUUGUUAUUAAUGUAAUGCAAUUCAACUAGAAUUAAGAAACUAGUGCUAAUAGUUUAAUACCACAAAAAAUGUUUAGAAGCGGUGUGGAGAGUGCUUCGAACGUAAUCAAGGUUCAAAUGUCGACGAGGCACCUGCUGACGUGGCAACCCUUAUUAAUUUGUGAGGACAGAACAGCCAGCGCCUGGCUCUCUGAUACUAUAAUAGACCCCAAAGGAAACACAGUUUCCCCGUGCUGUUAAAAAAAGUUAUCAUAACUUGAGAAACACACCGAAGAAAAAGGCUGUUAAGCGUUAAAUACCCAGACCGAGUGCGAGUACCCGUGCCAAGCUGCCGCCACGCUGGAGUCGUGAGGACAAACACGGCCGCUACCACCUUCGGGAUUCUGCUGAUGCCUCCACUACGUACAUUCUCCCAACUCUCCGAGAUCCACAGCUAAGUAGCAGUUUAGGGUUGGCCAACUCUAUUUAUCUUAGUUUGAAAUAGGAGUAAGGGAGGUUUUAAGGUAAGUCACUUCCUUGACUGUGAUUGGUGGUCAAUAUUAACCUCGUAAUCUGAGGUUAUUUCCCACAGGAACACUACCCAGAAAUUUACUCUAAAAUGGGGGGCUUCCUCUUUGCUGCCAUUUAAGACAGCCAUUUGUAUUGGCCAGGGAGGGAUCCUGUCUCUCUACCUGUACAACGUCUACACAGAUGAUCUCACUGCCGCUCUGCGUGACACAGCACAGGCUGCCGCUUACAUGAUAGGUGCAUCAACUCGCUGAGUUAUGCUGAUGACAUGGUACUGUGGCGCCCACAGUGGAGGCUCUGCAGGACCUUACUGGAGUGUGUCAGGCAUAUGCUGCUACGCACAAUAUUGUCUACAACACCACCAAGACAGAGUGCAUGAUAGUGCCGCCGCCACACUCCAGGGUGGACCACCAGACAUCGGCGUGGCUCAGUGGGAGUGCCCUGACAUUUGUGGAUAGAUCCACCUACCUGGGCCACGUCAUCAACAGGGAAAGGACUGAUAAUGAUGACAUCAAGAAACAGACCGCCAAGCACACAGUCAUCGGCAACACGCUGCUGAGGAAGUUCCUCUGCAGCAAAGAGGUGAGGUUGGAGUUAUUCAGGAGCCACUGUUACUCACUCUACUGCAACUCGCUGUGGUCGCGGUAUAGGGCUGCCUCCAUGAACCGUCUUAGGGUCUGUCCUAACGACAUCCUUAAGCGGCUACUGGGGCUUCCUAGAUGGACUAGCUCAUCCCUGGCCUUCACCGGGCACGGGAUGGACUGUCUGGCUGUGCUGCGUCGCCUCGCCGCGUACAGUAUGAGGAGUAGAGUGGAGCAUCUGGUAACUCCAUCACCACCUCCGCCAGACAGAGCCCGGCCUAUGUGUGUGGACCUAUGCGGCGAGACUGGCUGGACCUGUUUGUGUAGAGUCGUGCACAAGCGUGCGGUGCACACGCUUAUAAGAACAUAAGAACGCAGGAGUCUACAAGAGGCCGGUAGGCCUGUACCAGGCAGCUCCUUUGACCCUAAGCUCCCGUGUAUCUAACCCCACCUAAUAUCGCUGUCCAUGAAUUUAUCUAAUCUAUUUUUGAAUGUGACAAUUGUAUUGGCACUCACCACAUGACUGCUAAGCCUAUUCCACUCAUCCACCACCCUGUUAGUAAACCAAUUUUUGCCUAUGUCCCUGUUGAAUUUGAAUUUAUCCAGUUUAAACCCAUUACUUCGUGUCCUACCCGGUUCUCUUACCAACAAAACCUUAUGAAUGUCUCCCUUAUUAAGGCCCUUCAUCCAUUUAUAAACCUCGAUCAUGUCUCCACGCACCCUUCGCCUUUCUAGAGAAUGCAAGUUUCACUGUUUGAGUCUUUCCUCGUAUGGCAAGUUUCUCAACCCCUGAAUCAUCUUAGUCAUCCUCCUCUGCACCGAUUCUAACAUUUUGAUAUUCAUUCUAUAGUAAGGUGACCAGAACUGAACCGCAUAGUCAGGAUGAGGUCUAACUAAUGCUAAAUAUAGUUUGCGGAAGACUUCGGGGCUUCUGUUGCUUACGCUCCUUGAAAUAAAUCCCAGUACCCUAUUUGCUCGAUUUCAAGCUUGAAUGCAUUGUGCCCUUGGACGGAGAUCAGAGCUCACUAAGACCCCUAAAUCCCUCUCGCACCCAGACCUGCUUAUGAGUGUCAUUUAAGCAAUAGUUAUGUGAGGGGUUGUUCCUACCUACACUCAGAAUACUGCACUUCCCUACAUUGAACUCCAUCUGCCAUUUAUCCGUCCAUUCAUACAAUCUGUUGAGUUCACCUUGGAGAAUACUAGCGUCCCGAUCCGACUCAAUUACUCUACCGAUCUUGGUAUCAUCUGCAAAUUUACUAACAUCACUACUAAUUCCUGUAUCUCAGUCAUUGAUAUAAAUAAUAAACAAAAGUGGACCUAAUACCGAACCUUGUGGGACCCCACUCGUAACACAUCCCCAGUCAGAUCUUUUACCAUUGAUUUGCACUCUUUGCUUCCUAUUUCUAAGCCACGCUUUGACCCAGUUCAAAACUUUACCCUCUACUCCGUGAGCCUGUAAUUUAAGCAACAGUCGUUGGUGAGGAACUUUGUCAAACGCUUUACUAAAAUCAAGAUAGAUUACAUCAUAAUUUUCAUCUCUGUCAACCGCCUCAAAUACUUUAUUGUAGAAGGACAAAAGAUUGGUGAGGCAUGACCUACCUUUUGUGAACCCAUGCUGCGAGUCGUGAAUUAAGCUAUGUUUCUCUAAAUGCUCCCGAAUGUUCCUGGCUAUUAUGGACUCCAGCAUCUUCCCUAUAACCGAUGUUAAGCUAAUUGGGCGAUAGUUUGAAGCAACUGACCUGUCCCCCUUUUUAAAAAUCGGCGUCACAUUUGCUACUUUCCAUAGGCUCGGCACAUAGCCAGUAUUUACCGACAUCUUAAAGAUGUCGGUUAGUGGGUCACUGAGUGCAUCACCUAAUUCCUUUUUUAAGGUCGAUAAUUAUUUAGGCGUAAUUGCUUGUAGGUCGAUUUCCUUCUCUUUCCUGUAUUGUUUCUUUAUAUAUGCCGCUGGGUGAAAUAAAACUAUUAUUAUUAUUAUUAUUAUUAUUAUUAUUAUUAUUAUUAAACUUUUACAGGUCACGUAAUCAUACAUACAUUUUUAUUCGCGUCACACAUAUGUAUUAAUUGCAGUCAAGCCGCGUGAAUAUUAGCAUGCUAUGAAAACAGACAGGAAGCUUUAGCCAUUCAUUAAUACUAUCGAGUUCUCUACCUUCCGGGAAACAAGUUCCAGGGUUAGGCUACGUGGUGUGCUGUCUCCUCAUAUCUUUUAACUACUACUAGAAAUUUACAUUAAUCUUUAUUUUCAUCCGUGAAAAAAAAAUCUAGCUCCUAUAAGAUGGCCCCUAGAUUUAGACUUUUGCCAUCAGCCAUCAUGGUCGUCUUGGCAGCAGCAGGGCGUGGUACGGUCGGGAAUUACGAAACGCUGCCGGGGUGGGUUGGUAUCAGUGGGCUGGGACGUGCUGCACAAACCCUCUUUUUAGUAAACUAAUUGACGGGCGCACAAAGUCAUUACAUCAGAGGUCGUAUUAUCUUAAGUAAAAGAUAGGUAUAGGGAACUGUAUCUACUACUACUACUGAUACUACUACUACUACUACUACUACUA
Molecule: long non-coding RNA, 4626 nt
Organism: Eriocheir sinensis (Chinese mitten crab)
Lineage: Eukaryota; Metazoa; Arthropoda; Malacostraca; Decapoda; Varunidae
Exons: 2
Source: RefSeq, a predicted model, not a curated record